Long non-coding RNA from Xiphophorus couchianus (Monterrey platyfish), 706 nucleotides. RefSeq lists it as uncharacterized. The record is from RefSeq and is a predicted model, not a curated record. NCBI's taxonomy places the organism in Eukaryota, Metazoa, Chordata, Actinopteri, Cyprinodontiformes, Poeciliidae. The transcript has 2 exons.
GGAGAAGAAGAAGAACUGGAUCAGAACCGAGACGCUCUGGUCUUGGUUUGAGGCGGAAUGCCUCAAACCAAGGAAAAUCUGGAAACGCUUUGUGACAGGAACCGCAGAGGCAGCUCUGACCCGGGACUGUGAGCAGGAAGUGAACAGGAAGUGAACAGGAAGUGAGCAGGAAGAGAGCGAGCCGCUGGAGGAAACAGUCGGCAAACGGAAGCAGAAGUGAAAAUUAUUUCUUUACGUCUCAAAAUAAAUCUGCUUUGGUGUUUUAAGACCUGCAGCCGCACAGAGAAACUUCUCCACUUGCUUCCUGAAGAGCUGCAGCUUCUGCUCAUUUCUGCGUUUCCUCCAGUUGCUGCCGUUCCUCUGGACAAUGCUCCGCUUUCACAGCAGGGAGCUGCUGCAGCUUUGAACCGCCCACUGCAUUUCUCUCCAAGACUGCGGGGCGAUCCGCGGCGGCUCAGGGUUUAUUUUUAGCCGGGCGGGAAGCGGGCCGCUCCCAACCCGCUGCACGAAGCUACAGGCUGACCGCCGCGGCGCGGGGGAAGAAAUGUUUCCAAUUAGUCUGAGACGGACGAUCAAGAAACCAGAAGGAGCCGAGAGGAAUGACAGAAUAACCAACGCUCGUUUCCAUCAUGGCCGCCUGCGGCAUCGUCAUGGAAACGAUUAUGGCUGAAAGGAAGAAAACUAAAACCUGGAACAAAAACAUGAA